RNAcentral lists this ribosomal RNA (253 nucleotides) under uncultured bacterium. Its description in RNAcentral is "partial 16S ribosomal RNA". It matches the Rfam family "Bacterial small subunit ribosomal RNA", at positions 524 to 776 of the family's 1533-position model. The record is from RNAcentral.
UACAGAGACUGCAAGCGUUAUUCGGAUUCACUGGGCGUAAAGGGUGCGCAGGCGGUUGGGUGUGUCAGAUGUGAAAUCCCGAGGCUUAACCUCGGAACUGCGUCUGAAACUACUCGACUAGAGUACUGGAGAGGGAAACGGAAUUCACGGUGUAGCAGUGAAAUGCGCAGAUAUCAGGAGGAACACCGGUGGCGAAGGCGGGUCUCUGGGACGGUACUGACGCUGAGACGCGAAAGCGUGGGGAGCGAACAGG